UUUAUUAAAUAAAAAUAUUUUUUAUCUCAUUUUAUAUAUAAAGCAACGAACCUCAUACAUCCGAACCAUACAACAUGCAUCCAAAUGCACACACUCAAAGUAAGAUAUAAAGACGUUGAUGAUCAGCUAAGCCAACUUGAAGCGAACAACAAAUGUACAAUAAGCAUCACUAUGAAGAUGACAACAAAUGUACAAUAAGCAUCACUACGAAGAUGACAAAGCACUCCACCGAAAACAAGCCACUGUGAAGAACGUAGCUGACCGCCAACGAACCCUGAGCCCCAAGGUAGUUCCUUCACAAAG
This 303-nucleotide long non-coding RNA is filed under the name Hordeum vulgare. Its description in RNAcentral is "long non-coding RNA (HVUL_LNC002786)". Lineage: Eukaryota; Viridiplantae; Streptophyta; Magnoliopsida; Poales; Poaceae. The record is from RNAcentral.